GGCCAGAGGAGGUAGUAAAGACAAAUAUCGAUACAGAACUCAAUUGAGGUACUGUAAUCGAAAUGAGUGCAUUAUAAAUCCUACAACGAGGAUCUAUUGGAGGGCAAGUCUGGUGCCAGCAGCCGCGGUAACUCCAGCUCCAAUAGCAUAUAUUAAAAUUGCUGCAGUUAAAAAGCUCGUAGUUGGAUCUGGGUUCUGGUCUGGAAUAUCCAGGGUAACGGUUUAAAUUUAUUCUGUUGCUCUUGGAAUAUCUAGGCCGAAUCUUCCAGCUGUGUCUAUGGGGUACUUCGGUAUCUCAUGGAUAGUGGCGUUGUCUGCGUUUGCUUCACAGCUUACCAGCUUCGUCUCUAUGCACUGCUAAUGCCCUUAACCGGGUGUUCAGUGUGGACAGCACGUUUACUUUGAACAAAUUUGAGUGCUCAAAGCAGGCCUAUGUU
Molecule: ribosomal RNA, 437 nt
Filed under: Gyrodactylus notatae
Lineage: Eukaryota; Metazoa; Platyhelminthes; Monogenea; Gyrodactylidea; Gyrodactylidae
Description: bacterial SSU rRNA
Rfam family: Eukaryotic small subunit ribosomal RNA
Source: RNAcentral